AUAUGGUUUCCCGUAAGUACUCAGACUCCUGAUUCUAUUUCUGUGCCAGUACCUGCUAUUUUAAUUACAGUGGCUCUAGAAUUCUACCCUCUGAAAAAGCAAGUCCCAUUUUACAUAUUUCUAAAACGUCCUGGUGAUCCUCACACAUUCAUUCUCCCUCAGGAACUUAAAAUCACUUGGUCUGCUUCCCCAUCCCCCAAGAAACAGCAGCGCUCUGCUGGGAAGAAGAUAAAACCUGUAAAUUCCUGUGGAAAGAACUGGUAUUUUAGGAUAUGGUCUCUCCAUCCAGAAGCAACACAGUAGAGAAAAGGGGGCCUCAUAACUCAGAUAACCCAAGACCCAGAAGACAAUGCACCUAGAGGUGAAGUGACAAUUAGGAUAAAGUGAUUUGCUGAAGGUCCGCCAAGUGGAUCAAUGGACAAGAAAGAUCCAUUAACUAAUUUACUCCUGGGAUGUGCAGGAAACACACAACUGCUGUGGAGGUCACCAAGAUCCCAGCCUUAAAAAAAAAAAAUAAAUAAAUAAAA
This is a long non-coding RNA of Acinonyx jubatus (cheetah), 527 nucleotides long. RefSeq lists it as uncharacterized. The record is from RefSeq and is a predicted model, not a curated record. NCBI's taxonomy places the organism in Eukaryota, Metazoa, Chordata, Mammalia, Carnivora, Felidae. The transcript has 3 exons.